CGGCGAGUGAAGCGGGAUGAGCUCAAAUUUGAAAGCUGGCAGCAAUGUCCGCGUUGUAAUCUCGAGAGAUGUUUUCCGCGUUGGACCACGUACAAGUUCCUUGGAAUAGGAUGUCAUAGAGGGUGAAAAUCCCGUACUUGAUGUGGACGCCCAGUGCUUUGUGAUACGUCUUCGAAGAGUCGAGUUGUUUGGGAAUGCAGCUCAAAAUGGGUGGUAAAUUCCAUCUAAAGCUAAAUAUUGGGGAGAGACCGAUAGCGAACAAGUACCGUGAGGGAAAGAUGAAAAGCACUUUGGAAAGAGAGUUAAACAGUACGUGAAAUUGUCAAAAGGGAAGCAUUUGAAGUCAGACGUGUAUUGCAGUAUUCAGCCUUGCUUUUGCUUGGUGUAUUUGCUGUAUUACAGGCCAACAUCAGUUUUGAGUGACGGAUAAGGGUAGAGAGAAUGUGGCAUCCUCGGAUGUGUUAUAGCUCUUUACUGGAUACGUCGUUUGGGACUGAGGAACGCAGCGCGCCGCAAGGCAGACCCUCGGGUACUUUCGCGCUUAGGAUGUUGGCGUAAUGGCUUUA
Molecule: ribosomal RNA, 566 nt
Filed under: Exobasidium woronichinii
Lineage: Eukaryota; Fungi; Basidiomycota; Exobasidiomycetes; Exobasidiales; Exobasidiaceae
Description: LSU rRNA
Rfam family: Eukaryotic large subunit ribosomal RNA
Source: RNAcentral